GGACCGGAGUGGACGAACCUCUGGUGUACCGGUUGUGACGCCAGUCGCAUCGCCGGGUAGCUAAGUUCGGAAGAGAUAAACGCUGAAAGCAUCUAAGCGUGAAACUCGCCUGAAGAUGAGACUUCCCUAGGGAUUUAAUCCCUCUAAAGAGACGUUCGAGACCAGGACGUUGAUAGGUCGGGUGUGGAAGAGUGGUAACACUUGCAGCUAACCGAUACUAAUUGCUCGUGAGGCUUGACUCUAU
Molecule: ribosomal RNA, 244 nt
Filed under: Snodgrassella alvi
Lineage: Bacteria; Pseudomonadati; Pseudomonadota; Betaproteobacteria; Neisseriales; Neisseriaceae
Description: partial 23S ribosomal RNA
Rfam family: Bacterial large subunit ribosomal RNA
Source: RNAcentral